GACGAACGCUGGCGGCGUGCUUAACACAUGCAAGUCGAACGGAAAGGCCCUGCUUUUGUGGGGUGCUCGAGUGGCGAACGGGUGAGUAACACGUGAGUAACCUGCCCUUGACUUUGGGAUAACUUCAGGAAACUGGGUCUAAUACCGGAUAUGAGCUCCUGCUGCAUGGUGGGGGUUGGAAAGUUGUGGCGGUUGGGGAUGGACUCGAGGCUUAUCGGCUUGUUGGUGGGGUAGUGGCUUACCAAGGCUUUGACGGGUAGCCGGCCUGAGAGGGUGACCGGCCCCAUUGGGACUGAGAUACGGCCCAGACUCCUACGGGAGGCAGCAGUGGGGAAUAUUGCACAAUGGGCGGAAGCCUGAUGCAGCAACGCCGCGUGCUGGAUGACGGCUGUCGGGUUGUAAACCGCUUUCGCCUGUGACGAAGCGUGAGUGACGGUAAUGGGUAAAGAAGCACCGGCUAACUACGUG
RNAcentral lists this ribosomal RNA (468 nucleotides) under uncultured bacterium. RNAcentral describes it as "partial 16S ribosomal RNA". It matches the Rfam family "Bacterial small subunit ribosomal RNA", at positions 28 to 507 of the family's 1533-position model. The record is from RNAcentral.